This 449-nucleotide ribosomal RNA is filed under the name uncultured bacterium. Its description in RNAcentral is "partial 16S ribosomal RNA". It matches the Rfam family "Bacterial small subunit ribosomal RNA", at positions 29 to 523 of the family's 1533-position model. The record is from RNAcentral.
AACAAACGCUGGCGGCAGGCUUAACACAUGCAAGUCGAACGAGAUCUUCGGAUCUAGUGGCAGACGGGUGAGGAACACGUGGGAACAUCCCUUUCAGUUCGGAAUAACGUUGGGAAACUAACGCUAAUACCGGAUACGUCCUUCGGGAGAAAGAUUUAUCGCUGAAAGAUUGGCCCGCGUCUGAUUAGCUAGUUGGUGAGGUAACGGCUCACCAAGGCUACGAUCAGUAGCUGAUCUGAGAGGAUGAUCAGCCACAUUGGGACUGAGACACGGCCCAAACUCCUACGGGAGGCAGCAGUGGGGAAUAAUGGACAAUGGGCGCAAGCCUGAUCCAGCCAUGCCGCGUGAGUGAUGACGGCCUUCGGGUUGUAAAGCUCUUUUGUCCGGGAAGAUAAUGACUGUACCGGAAGAAUAAGCCCCGGCAAACUUCGUGCCAGCCGCCGCGGUAA